This 699-nucleotide ribosomal RNA is filed under the name uncultured beta proteobacterium. RNAcentral describes it as "bacterial SSU rRNA". It matches the Rfam family "Bacterial small subunit ribosomal RNA", at positions 8 to 703 of the family's 1533-position model. Lineage: Bacteria; Pseudomonadati; Pseudomonadota; Betaproteobacteria. The record is from RNAcentral.
AGAGUUUGAUCAUGGCUCAGAUUGAACGCUGGCGGCAUGCCUUACACAUGCAAGUCGAACGGUAACGGGUCCUUCGGGAUGCCGACGAGUGGCGAACGGGUGAGUAAUAUAUCGGAACGUGCCCAGUAGUGGGGGAUAACUGCUCGAAAGAGCAGCUAAUACCGCAUACGACCUGAGGGUGAAAGGGGGGGAUCGCAAGACCUCUCGCUAUUGGAGCGGCCGAUAUCAGAUUAGCUAGUUGGUGGGGUAAAGGCCUACCAAGGCAACGAUCUGUAGUUGGUCUGAGAGGACGACCAGCCACACUGGGACUGAGACACGGCCCAGACUCCUACGGGAGGCAGCAGUGGGGAAUUUUGGACAAUGGGCGCAAGCCUGAUCCAGCAAUGCCGCGUGCAGGAAGAAGGCCUUCGGGUUGUAAACUGCUUUUGUCAGGGAAGAAAUCUUCUGGGCUAAUACCCCGGGAGGAUGACGGUACCUGAAGAAUAAGCACCGGCUAACUACGUGCCAGCAGCCGCGGUAAUACGUAGGGUGCGAGCGUUAAUCGGAAUUACUGGGCGUAAAGCGUGCGCAGGCGGCUUUGCAAGACAGAUGUGAAAUCCCCGGGCUCAACCUGGGAACUGCAUUUGUGACUGCAAGGCUAGAGUACGGCUGAGGGGGAUGGAAUUCCGCGUGCAGCAGUGAAAUGCGUAAUAUGCGGAG